Molecule: transfer RNA, 76 nt
Filed under: Clostridiales bacterium
Lineage: Bacteria; Bacillati; Bacillota; Clostridia; Eubacteriales
Also listed under: 1 other name
Description: tRNA-Thr
Rfam family: tRNA
About the family: Transfer RNA (tRNA) molecules are approximately 80 nucleotides in length. Their secondary structure includes four short double-helical elements and three loops (D, anti-codon, and T loops).
Source: RNAcentral
GCCGCCCUAGCUCACUAGGCAGAGCGCGUCCUUGGUAAGGACGAGGUAACGGGUUCGACUCCCGUGGGUGGCUCCA